Non-coding RNA from Mycena epipterygia, 85 nucleotides. Lineage: Eukaryota; Fungi; Basidiomycota; Agaricomycetes; Agaricales; Mycenaceae. The record is from the annotation of a GenBank genome assembly.
CCAAUUUUAGUUCAGUUGGUAGAGCACAAGACUGAAAUGGUUACUUGUCAUCUUGAUGUCCUCUGUUCGAUCCGGUGAAGUCGGA